This 253-nucleotide ribosomal RNA is filed under the name uncultured bacterium. Its description in RNAcentral is "partial 16S ribosomal RNA". It matches the Rfam family "Bacterial small subunit ribosomal RNA", at positions 524 to 776 of the family's 1533-position model. The record is from RNAcentral.
UACGAAGGGGGCUAGCGUUGCUCGGAAUCACUGGGCGUAAAGCGCACGUAGGCGGCUUUUUAAGUUAGAGGUGAAAGCCCAGGGCUUAACCCUGGAAUUGCCUUUAAGACUGCAUCGCUAGAAUCGUGGAGAGGUGAGUGGAAUUCCGAGUGUAGAGGUGAAAUUCGUAGAUAUUCGGAAGAACACCAGUGGCGAAGGCGACUCACUGGACACGUAUUGACGCUGAGGUGCGAAAGCGUGGGGAGCAAACAGG